GAGUUUGAUCAUGGCUCAGAUUGAACGCUGGCGGCAUGCCUUACACAUGCAAGUCGAACGGCAGCGCGGACUUCGGUCUAGCGGCGAGUGGCGAACGGGUGAGUAAUACAUCGGAACGUACCCUGUUGUGGGGGAUAACUAGUCGAAAGAUUAGCUAAUACCGCAUACGACCUGAGGGUGAAAGUGGGGGACCGCAAGGCCUCACGCAGCAGGAGCGGCCGAUGUCUGAUUAGCUAGUUGGUGGGGUAAGAGCCUACCAAGGCGACGAUCAGUAGCUGGUCUGAGAGGACGAUCAGCCACACUGGGACUGAGACACGGCCCAGACUCCUACGGGAGGCAGCAGUGGGGAAUUUUGGACAAUGGGGGCAACCCUGAUCCAGCAAUG
RNAcentral lists this ribosomal RNA (385 nucleotides) under uncultured beta proteobacterium. RNAcentral's name for it is "bacterial SSU rRNA". It matches the Rfam family "Bacterial small subunit ribosomal RNA", at positions 9 to 396 of the family's 1533-position model. Lineage: Bacteria; Pseudomonadati; Pseudomonadota; Betaproteobacteria. The record is from RNAcentral.